RNAcentral lists this ribosomal RNA (709 nucleotides) under uncultured bacterium. Its description in RNAcentral is "bacterial SSU rRNA". It matches the Rfam family "Bacterial small subunit ribosomal RNA", at positions 53 to 745 of the family's 1533-position model. The record is from RNAcentral.
CCUUGAAAUCGGAGUGCUUGCACUCUGUGAAACAANNUACAGGCUAGCGGCGGACGGGUGAGUAACACGUGGGUAACCUGCCCAAGAGAUCGGGAUAACACCUGGAAACAGAUGCUAAUACCGGAUAACAACAGAUGAUGCCUAUCAACUGUUUAAAAGAUGGUUCUGCUAUCACUCUUGGAUGGACCUGCGGUGCAUUAGCUAGUUGGUAGGGUAACGGCCUACCAAGGCGAUGGUGCAUAGCCGAGUUGAGAGACUGAUCGGCCACAUUGGGACUGAGACACGGCCCAAACUCCUACGGGAGGCAGCAGUAGGGAAUCUUCCACAAUGGACGCAAGUCUGAUGGAGCAACGCCGCGUGAGUGAAGAAGGGUUUCGGCUCGUAAAGCUCUGUUGUUGGUGAAGAAGGACGGGGGUAGUAACCGACCUUUGUUUGACGGUAAUCAAUUAGAAAGUCACGGCUAACUACGUGCCAGCAGCCGCGGUAAUACGUAGGUGGCAAGCGUUGUCCGGAUUUAUUGGGCGUAAAGCGAGUGCAGGCGGUUCGAUAAGUCUGAUGUGAAAGCCUUCGGCUCAACCGGAGAAUUGCAUCAGAAACUGUCGAGCUUGAGUACAGAAGAGGAGAGUGGAACUCCAUGUGUAGCGGUGAAAUGCGUAGAUAUAUGGAAGAACACCGGUGGCGAAGGCGGCUCUCUGGUCNNNUACUGACG